GGGGAAUAUUGGGCAAUGGGCGAAAGCCUGACCCAGCAACGCCGCGUGAAGGAAGAAGGCCUUCGGGUUGUAAGCUUCCUUGACCAGGGACGAAACAAAUGACGGUACCUGGAAAACAAGCCACGGCUAACUACGUGCCAGCAGCCGCGGUAAUACGUAGGUGGCAAGCGUUAUCCGGAUUUACUGGGUGUAAAGGGCGUGUAGGCGGUUUUGUAAGUCGGAUGUGAAAUUCCCAGGCUUAACCUGGGCGCUGCAUCCGAAACUACAGAACUUGAGUACUGGAGAGGAUAGUGGAAUUCCUAGUGUAGCGGUAAAAUGCGUAGAUAUUAGGAGGAACAUCAGUGGCGAAGGCGACUAUCUGGACAGUAACUGACGCUGAGGCGCGAAAGCGUGGGGAGCAAAC
RNAcentral lists this ribosomal RNA (403 nucleotides) under uncultured bacterium. RNAcentral's name for it is "bacterial SSU rRNA". It matches the Rfam family "Bacterial small subunit ribosomal RNA", at positions 356 to 773 of the family's 1533-position model. The record is from RNAcentral.